Pelodiscus sinensis (Chinese soft-shelled turtle) is the source of this 321-nucleotide non-coding RNA. The record is from RefSeq and is a predicted model, not a curated record. NCBI's taxonomy places the organism in Eukaryota, Metazoa, Chordata, Testudines, Trionychidae.
GCCUCCUCAACGCUACCACUGAUGCCCGGCUGAACUCUUCCCCUCAGAAACCACUGGACCUGAAGCAGCUGAAGCAGAGAGCUGCUGCCAUCCCCCCCAUCAUUUCCGAGGGAUUCCUAGACGGGACGUCACAGAGUGGAAGCAUGAAGCCCCAGGUGCCUCACCAUGCCUUGGCCCUCUACCAGCAGCAGAUCACUAAAGCCCAUGAAUCUGCCCGAGAGGAUGUGGCCCCAAGCAAGCAGCAGCAGCCAGAGCAGGAGCAGCAGCCAAGCAGUAGCCCCAGAGGACAGAGCAGGAGCCCGGUUGUUGGUGACAAGGAAG